CACGAUCACGCUGUCACCUCUUUCGAUCAAACGGUCCACCAAGUGUGACCCAACGAACCCAGCCCCACCGGUCACCACUAUUCUCAAACCCUUCCGUUUUAGCCCCAGCGGGAUCUUCCCGCCCGAAUUUACUGAACCGAACCCGGCCCCAUGAGGUUCGUAGAAUUUGUAUCUCGCUGGCACCGACUCAUGAGAUAAGUGAGCCAGCGAAUCAGAGAUCGGCUCCUGUUUGUGAUGCUGCACAUAUGGGGCUCUAGAAGAGGAAGGAAGGACGGUAAAGAAAAGGGUGGCAAUAACAAUGCCGACGAGGACAAAGA
This 317-nucleotide unclassified non-coding RNA is filed under the name Hevea brasiliensis (rubber tree). Lineage: Eukaryota; Viridiplantae; Streptophyta; Magnoliopsida; Malpighiales; Euphorbiaceae. The record is from RNAcentral.